UAUUUCUUAUGACAAAUGGCAAGGGGAUCUUAUGACAUGUGUCCCGAUGUAUUUUUUUUGUUUUACAUUUUAGGUCAUUCUUUUUUUACACUAUUACAAUUUGGCUUAGUACUGUUUAAUUGUGCACUAUAAUUUUUCUCGCACUAACCAUUAUUAUAUGAAGUUUCAUAAUAUAUUUUAUUGGUCAAUAAAAUUGAAGAUGAAUAAGGAAAAAAUAAAAUAAUACAAAUAGAUUUUUAAUAUUUUAUUUAUUCACAACUAAAACUUACAUAAACUUUUACUAUUUUAUUAUCUACUAUUCAAAAUCAUAAAAUAACUAAACUAAAAAAAAAACAGAGUAAGACACAUAAUCUAAAUUUAAAUCUCCACAAUUACAAAGAAAAAAUAAAAUACUAUAGUAACACUAACUCUGGAACACAAACGAACGCGAUCAAGCACUAACCCAAAACACCAAAAAAAGGAUCAGAGGAAGAAUAAUCACCGGAAGACCAAAGUCACCACGAAGCAGAAAAACAUAUGCAUAAAGCACAACCACCAGCUAAAAAGUAAAACAAAGAGCCCAUGCCAAUGAAGAACCACAAAACUAUGAAUAGAAGAGACCAAAGCACCAAAAGACUAGCUCCACAAACCUAUACUAAGGGAAGCAUGGAAAGAAGAAAAGCAACAUAAGGAAGGAAGAAUCGAAGCCAACCACAGAGAAACCAGAGCUCAAGUUUGAGACAAGAAAUAAUCUUCCAAGCCCACAAAACCUACACGAAAGAAAACACUAUCCAAACCUGGAGUGGCAAACAUGAUGAAACGGCGAGCCACCAGAAACGCUACCAGCGAUGAAAACUGCAACGAGAUGAGAAAACAAAGAAAGAAAAAGAGACUACACAAAAUCAGCAAACUGUGGAGCCAUCCUCGAGCUAUGAAGAGAACAUAAAAGUCAGAUCACCAAAACCCAGAUCUUGAAAACCAAGACGAGCAGGGACUAUCAGCGGCAAGCCAACUACGAGGAAGAAAACUAAACUCUGACCCAACCCAAGGAGAUGUAGUUCCGAACAUUAGCCAAAUCUAAGGAAGAAUAGGAAAAAUAUUGACCAGAACAGCCUACAACAUCAUGAGACACAACCGCACAACUGAAAACUCAUAAACCUGAUCUACAACAAAUAUCAGAUAAUCUCACAAGAGAAGAAGACGAAAUAAACAAGAGCAACAAAGGUGAGUCUUUUUCCAGUGAUGGUAAGAAACACUGCAUACCGGAAAUUUAAAUAAAAUACAUAGAUGGUGACGGCUCAAGUCAAAAUAUGCGGAACAAUUUUUUUAGAAGAAUAAUGUUCAAUGUUGUUAAGAAAAAGAAUAAUGUUCACAAAUAUGAAAAUAUGAAAUACAAUUUUGACGCUGAAACCGUUAAUGUUAGAAUCAACAAAUGCUUAAAUUCAAAGUGAUUGAAAUUCAAUAUACUUUAUAUCAGAAGCUCAAUUCACCAUUAACAAACACUACUAUACACACAACAAUACAUUUUUUAAAAGACGAACACAUAAUAUAUUAACGUAUAACCUAAUACUACAUAACACAAUAAAAUACUAAAUCAUAUUCUUCACAAAUAAAUACUGACCACAUAAUUACAUCAUCCAAAAACAUCAUAUUUAACCAUAAUUAAAUAAUAUUCUGCACGAAGCGUAGAAACCCACCUAGUAUAAAAUACAGUUCUCUCGGUCCUCGGGCUGCCAUGUCAUCAAUUAUUCUCUUCUUGGAGUGUCACAUGUUGUUUUUAAAGUUUGAAAUCUUUGUUUACGUCGGUCUUCUAACUGGGUUUGUAAUGUAUUUGUAACAAUUAGAUUUGCUUGGGCUGGGUUAUUCCUUAUUGGUGGCCCAUGGUCUUAGUUACGCCGUCUGAAGUUAACUUCAGAAUAUGCUUUCGUUCAUCUUCCCGACUAGGACAGUCAGAAACCAUUACAAGAGUUACACAGAAGCGAAGCGUCGUCUUCAGAGCAUUCAUCAUCUAUUGAAUGCAUCCCCAUUUACUUUCUUAUCUCAGAAUUUUCGACUAUAAAAAGGUAAUACAUCCGUUCAAGCUUCUGAUUCAUAAGUUUCUGGAAAACGGCUAACUCCUCUUUGGAUGGUUUCUGGGUUUAGAUCCUUUGUUAGUGGUUUGAUUAUAUGACUGACUUUGAUUGGAAGUUUCGUUAGAUUAGGGUCUGUUGGUUUAUCAAUUUAAUUAAUAUGAAAUGUAAAUUAGCGUUAUUUGUAUCUGGAGAAGAGAUUAUAUAGUUUAGUCGCUUUGUAGGCUGAGCUAGAUACAAACGUGUUUUAGGCAAUUGAAGAAUAUAGAUGAGGAUAGAGUGGUUGAUAACAAUGAAGGUCUACCUCAGGCUUUGUUGGGAAGCUGCAAUGAUCAUGCAAGGAGAUAUAUAUUAAGAUGCCCAUUAAAGAUCCUUCAAUCAAUCCUCCCACUACAUCUCUCUUUUGGAAGGUCCGAAUGUUAAGAGGAGGUGAGAUCAAGGGAUUUAAGCUCAUCAAUGUUGGACAAGAAGCAUUUCCACUCUCCACUGCCACACACCUCACCAGAUCGGACGGCUUGAAUUAGCUUUCAAUGAGUGUCAACCUCCAGAUGAGACACAGAGGAUGCAACUUAGGAGAGAGUUGGGUUUGGCUCCAAGACAGAUCAAGUUUUGGUUUCAGAACCGAAGAAAACAUAAGAAGCAGGCGCAACACGAGAGAGCUGAUAGGAUUUGUUGCGAAAACAUUUCCAUUAGAGAAGCUCUCAAACACACACCAUUUGCCACACCUGUGUUCAUGAAGACUUAAACAGAAGCUUCGAAUCAAAAAAGCUUAGAGAAGAGGUUCUAGCUUUUUCUUUAUGAAACCCUCUUUCCAUCAAGUUGUUCUUCAAUGGCUGCCUCGAGUUUACUGUCUCUACCAAACUUUGUUAUCUCAGACAUGGAUAAGUCUCGGAUGACCAACAAUGCUGUGACCCGCUAUGGAAGAAUAUCUUAGGCUUAGGCCCUGUUCGUUUGCUCACCCAGGUGAUCCAUAUGGGUGAAGAUGCAAAUUGAUGUUCGUUUUGUACAUUAUAAUGCUACAUCCAGAUGUAUUACACAGCUGAAUUUUUAAAAAUUCAUCUCAAAUUUCCACCCAAAUGAAGGUGAGUCUU
Molecule: long non-coding RNA, 3139 nt
Organism: Brassica rapa (field mustard)
Lineage: Eukaryota; Viridiplantae; Streptophyta; Magnoliopsida; Brassicales; Brassicaceae
Source: RefSeq, a predicted model, not a curated record